AGUGAACGCUGGCGGUAGGCCUAACACAUGCAAGUCGAGCGGCAGCACAGUAAGAGCUUGCUCUUACGGGUGGCGAGUGGCGGACGGGUGAGGAAUACAUCGGAAUCUACUUUUUCGUGGGGGUUAACGUAGGGAAACUUACGCUAAUACCGCAUACGACCUACGGGUGAAAGCAGGGGAUCUUCGGACCUUGCGCGAUUGAAUGAGCCGAUGUCGGAUUAGCUAGUUGGCGGGGUAAAGGCCCACCAAGGCGACGAUCCGUAGCUGGUCUGAGAGGAUGAUCAGCCACACUGGAACUGAGACACGGUCCAGACUCCUACGGGAGGCAGCAGUGGGGAAUAUUGGACAAUGGGCGCAAGCCUGAUCCAGCCAUACCGCGUGGGUGAAGAAGGCCUUCGGGUUGUAAAGCCCUUUUGUUGGGAAAGAAAAGCAGCAGGUUAAUACCCCGCUGUUCUGACGGUACCCAAAGAAUAAGCACCGGCUAACUUCGUG
Molecule: ribosomal RNA, 492 nt
Filed under: uncultured bacterium
Lineage: Bacteria
Description: partial 16S ribosomal RNA
Rfam family: Bacterial small subunit ribosomal RNA
Source: RNAcentral